RNAcentral lists this unclassified non-coding RNA (1153 nucleotides) under Hevea brasiliensis (rubber tree). Lineage: Eukaryota; Viridiplantae; Streptophyta; Magnoliopsida; Malpighiales; Euphorbiaceae. The record is from RNAcentral.
UCCCAUUUAUUGUUUCUUCCACACUAUCAUUUAUCUCCUCAGUCUAUCAAGAAAGACGGAUCUAAGAAUAUAGGAUCAACAAGCUAAUUGAUCUCUAUAUGGAGAGAUCUCCUCAAAUAUGGGAAGUCUCCUUGACCUAUAGGGUGCCCAUUGACUCAUCAACUUGUCAAGUCCUUCAACAAAAGCAUCUUCUAAACAUAAUUCUGAUGAUUUUGGCGAUAGCAGUGAUGAUUGGCAUGCUUCUAAUUCAUGAAGCAACUCCUUCACACGGCUUCUUGACUUGGGGUCAUCGGAUCCUGCAAGCUUACCCUGCAAUACAUCAUCAAGGACUGAAUGUGCCGCAGCAUAUCGCGCUUGCUUGAUAAGGCACAAGCACAAAUUGCAAGCCUUGUUAGCAUCAGGAUCAAUUGAUUGCGCCUUCUGGUACACAACUUCUGCUGCCAAAUAGCUUCCUUGCUGCAUGUACGCCCAACCCAAGUUUCCCAGUAUCCGAGAUGUCUCUUGCUUGAUGGUAACCUGGAACUUUCUCCCAUGAGAGCGAGCUGUCCUAGUUAGCUUUCCAUUGAAUGCUUCUCCUUCAUAGAUCAUAUGAAGCUUCUGCUUCAAUAGUUCUAUCUGCUCCUCAAUUCUCCCACAUUUCUUGUACAAGUCAAUGAGGACAUUGUCAAGUGAUUCUUGGGCUUGCUUGGAGCAGCGAUGCCUAAAAGAUUUUAUAGCUUCAAUUGCUUCCUCUGCUCGAUCUUGCUGUUUCAUAACCACUGCCAUGUCUUUGAGGGCACUAUCUACUCUAUCUCCAGCAUUUAUUGCCUUCCAAAACAAAACUAUCGCGGCUUCUGGAUCCUUUUGAACUAGCUGGACAUGCUUGGCUCUAACAUAAGGGCUAUCACCAGGAGGAAGCUUGUGAAUGACAUGAUAAGGGGGCUCUUGAUGAUCAUGAUCAUGAUGAUGAUGCUUCUCUCCUUUUCCUGUGUUCAUCUUUCUCUAUUUUAAAACAUGCAAGAAAUUAAAUCAAACCCUCGCCAAUUCCGACCCGUAAAACUCCCUUUAAAUCCCUUCCUUGUUUAGCUAUACAUAGUCAAUACUGAGAAUUCAGACGGAGAAAACGGAGAAUUGGAGCAGCGAAGAAAAAAGAAACUUCUUCUCAUAGUUUGUG